GAUAAACGCUGGCGGCGUGCUUUAUGCAUGCAAGUCGAACGGUCUUGAUAUGCCAGGCUUGCCUGAUGUAUCAAGAUAGUGGCAAACGGGUGAGUAACGCGUAAGUAACCUGUCCUCAAGUAGGGAAUAACUCUGAGAAAUUGGAGCUAAUACCGUAUGUGGUGGUGGGGGUAAUGCUCUAUCACUAAAGCCUUAGGGUGCUUGGGGAGGGGCUUGCGUCCGAUUAGCUAGUUGGUAGGGUAACGGUUUACCAAGGCGAUGAUCGGUAGCUGGUUUGAGAGGACGGUCAGCCACACUGGGACUGAGACACGGCCCAGACUCCUACGGGAGGCAGCAGCAAGGAAUAUUGUGCAAUGGGCGAAAGCCUGACACAGCGACACCGCGUGGGGGAUGAAGGCCUUCGGGUCGUAAACCCCUUUUCUCAGGGAAGAAAAAUGACGGUACCUGGGGAAUAAGUCUCGGCUAACUACGUGCCAGCAGCCGCGGUAAUACGUAGGUGGCGAGCGUUAUCCGGAUUUACUGGGCGUAAAGUGGGUGUAGACGGUUUUAUAAGUUGGAUGUAAAAUCUCUCAGCUUAACUGAGAGCGAUCAUUUGAUACUGUUAAACUAGAGGACAACAGGGGGAGGUAGAAUUCCCGGUGUAGUGGUGGAAUGCGUAGAUAUCGGGAGGAAUACCAGUGGCGAAGGCGGCCUCCUGGGUUGUUUCUGACGUUCAUGCCCGAAGGUGUGGGGAGCAAACAGGAUUAGAUACCCUGGUAGUCCACACUGUAAACGAUGGACACUAGGUAUAGGGAGUAUCGACCCUCUCUGUGUCGAAGCUAACGCUUUAAGUGUCCCGCCUGGGGACUACGGCCGCAAGGCUA
This 863-nucleotide ribosomal RNA is filed under the name uncultured Chloroflexota bacterium. Its description in RNAcentral is "bacterial SSU rRNA". It matches the Rfam family "Bacterial small subunit ribosomal RNA", at positions 28 to 896 of the family's 1533-position model. Lineage: Bacteria; Bacillati; Chloroflexota. The record is from RNAcentral.